CUUGACUCAUUUUUCUUCCAUCUUUUGAACUCUUUAGAAUCUGAGAUUUUUUGUCUUCCUUUCUCCUUCGUCUCUUUCGUCUUCUUUGUGUUUUCCUUGGAACUUCUGUGAUUUAGGGUUUGUAUUCUGUCUGAAUAAGUGAAUCUAAGUGAUUCUUGAAUGAGGAAAAAGGGUUUAUAUCUGUUUUGGGGCUUUUUUCUUUGGUCGAAGUAACCUCGUUCUAUUUUCUAUGUGGGUUUGGAUAUUUUGGUGCUUUACUUUUGUGCAGAAGGGUACAAUCAAAUGUUAGAUUUGUUUUGUAACAUUUAACAGUGAAUGAUUUGGGAUGCUUUGUGUGUAUUUUUUGAUUUCUUGGUAUAGUAGUGGUAUCAGAGCCUUUAGAGGCAUUAGGGCUUCGUUCGACGGUGAUCUAUUUGUGAAAAAUCAUUUUCACAGCGAGAUCUGAAUAGAUCUGUGUGAUCGAAACCCUAGAUCUAUUUCAACUACAGAUCGUACAUAUCUUUGUUUACCUUUUUUUUUUUUUUUACUGAUGACUAAACUAACGAUUGUUCACUUUGGCUGUCUCGUUAGUUUCUUACAGGUUGACCUUUGCAAACUGAGUGUUCGUGAUUGAUUCUUAGAUGACCAAACAGUAUUCUUGAGGCUUUCUUGGUUAUUGGUAGUCAUAACUAAUGACUACUUCUUUUUUGCUUUGAGGCAAUUUUCCCUUAUUUUUUCAAAUCUAGAUUUCCCAGUUUUAUAUAUAUAUAUAUAUAUAUAUAUAUUGUGGUACCGUAAAUUGCUACAUUCUUCGAUAGAUUUCAUGUAUACAAUAACAUACUUGUGUAGUUAAAUUUUGUGAACUACAUUCGCUUAUUGGUUCUGUUUGACACAUUCAUUAUAUCCCCUUCAACUUCUGGUUCUGAUGCCCCAAUUUGAGCCUUGACCUGAGGACGUGAUCUUCAUAGAAUCUUGGUGAAUUUAGGCAUUUGGGGCCUGAAGUGCAUUAUGUUGAAUAUACUAUCAUUUCUUAUUAUUGUUAAUACUCUGUGUGUUACUGUUUUCUUGAUUCUUAAAGCUACUUGAUACUUAAUAAUCUUGGCCGACUCUUAGUGUUGUCAAACUUUAUUCUAUAUCCACAUGUUUUCUGUUGAACAUUGUAACUACAAAUAAUUUUCUCGUGUUGAUUUUGAACUCCAAAUGUCGACUACUAAGUUUGAACUUAGGGGUUUAAAUGGAAAAUGGGACUUCCCUAUUUGACAGCAAAAGAUGAAAUGGGUCCUUAUUCAACAGAAAGUCUUAAGAGGCUAUAACUGCUGAAUAUUCUGCUACUAUGACUCAAGAACAAAAAACUAAAUCUGAUGAACUUGCCAACCCCUCUAUCAUAUUGCAUUCAUUUGAUCAAGUUUUAAGGAAAGUUGAGAAACUAGAUAAUGCAAAAGCUUUGUGGGAUAAAUUAGAAGAAAAUUAUUUAGUAAAAUCCUUACCAAAUAAAAUAUUUCUUCUGGAAAGAGUCUGCAAUUAUAAGAUAGACCCUUCCAAAAAUUUAGAAAAUAACAUUGAUGUUUUUAAUAAAUUAGUUCUAGAUAUAACCAAUGUUCGAGAAAAAGUCUCCAAGGAUUGAUCGUUUGAUUACCUGCAAGUGAACAGAUCGUUAGCAAGUAAUAUAGUAGUGUGUAAAGUGUUGAGUCCACGAAGACUUUGUUUGAUCCAGUUAAAAUUAAUAAUAUCCUUAAUCGAAUAGCAAAAUUAAGUUGUGAUUAAACAAUAUUAAAUUUGACAACUAAAUUGAAAGCAAAGUAAAAAUUUAUCAAAUUCGCUAGAAGUAUUGCUAAGACGUGGAAUCCCCAUUGAUAAUUUAUUUUUAGUUUGAUAAUUUAAAUUGACAAUUUAAAAUCAUAUUUAUUGGUCAAUAUUCAUAUUUUAAUUGAGAACCUCUCUUGAAAACUAUAAAAUCUAUUUUCUUCAUGCGAUGUUUCGUCACUCAAUGAAAUAUAUGAACAUGAUAAAUGUCAGAACAUCUUAUAAAAAUCAUAUGAAGUAUAGAGGUAUAUCUCUAUCAUCUAUCGAACCUCACAAUAUUUAUUAUUUUGUCGAUAACAACAAAAUUCACAAACAAUUCAACUAGUGGCCAAUUAAUUGAAAAAAACAUGAAAACGAUAAUAAACACCCAAACAAUUAAACAAAUUAACGUCAAUUAAAUUAUUCAAAUUAAAAAUUCAUAACAAGGGUUCAUCACAUCUUAACAAAUAUUAAAAAUUAGUCUAACAUAUUGAAAUUACAAGAAAUCAUAUAUAAGUGGAAAGACAUAAUCCGGAUUUUUGAUAAAUUGUGAAGAUGAAGAUAAAUCUUGAAAUCUUGAAUCUCUUCAAUAGUUUCUUAAUGAAUCUUGACUUGCGCUCUCUCUUCUUUGUCCAAUACCAAGUUUGAAUCUUCACGUGAUUGAAUUCUUGCAAGUCCCCUUCGAUUCUCUCACAAAAACAAUGAAUUCUCCUCCUUUGAUGAUGAUAAUUGAUGAAUAUUGGAGUAUGUUAUGUAUAAGAGACAUGUACGAAAGCCCCCUUCAUGUAUUCUCCUGUUGGGUAUCUGUAGUGGUCGAAAAUUGGUGAAAAAUCACGCCCAAGUUGGUUUUCAAAAGAGUUCCAAUCGAAUAAGCAAAGUUACACUCGUGCGCGGAUUUUUUUCUCUGCACAAUAGUCAAUAUUUUGAUCAUAACUUUGUCUCCCAAUAUUUGAUUGAGUUCAUUCAAAAUGCAUUUAAAAGAUAACUAAAAGGACUACAAUUUUUUUAGAGAUAGAUAUUUUUCAAUUAGGAUGUUUACUAUGCCUAAAAUUGGUCGCAAUCCUUGACAAAAAAUUUAGAAGAUAUAUCAUGUAAUUGGAAGUCGAUUUAUGGUAAUAUUCUGAUGAUAUUCCAUUCCUUUUUUACUUCUAAUUGCAUCCAAUUGAAUCCCAUCAAUCUUUAAAAUAUCUCUUAUGGUCCAAUUCAACAAUUGGAGUUUGCAAUUUGGUCCUAAACUUUGUACUUCAUCAUUUUUUGCCAUUUUUCGCUUAUUUGUUUUAAUUUAACUUCCAACCAUCGAGUUUUACCUAUUAAUGAAAUAUACAAUAAAUUAGGCUAUAAUUGCUUUAGAAAACUAUUAAAUGUCUAUAUUUUUAGGUCUACAUAAGUGUAAAAAAUACACUUAUCAAACACCCCCAAACUUGAACAUUUGUUUGUCCUCAAACAAAACCAUAACCUAACUUAACUAACACACAAACAUACAAAAUAUUUUGGUUGGAUAAUCUUGCUUUUUACCUUGGGAUACGAAAUUAUAAUAUUAAAUCUAUGAACAGCUUCUAGGUUACAAUACCAAAAUUAAUGUCCACUUUACCAGAUGCAAAAUUGACGUAUGUGUGAAAAAUUAAGUAAUCAAUCAUAAAUACACAAGCUGUUUCAGUUCCAGACCUUCUGUGGUCAAAUAUAUCAUUUUCAUCUCUCGUAAGAUUCACACACCACCAAACUUAUUCUUUUUCACUCUUUUCCUAGCGUAUAAUCUAAGGUUGAAUUUUUUAUUACUAUCCUCACUCUCUCCAAUUUAGGUGGAUGUUACUAGUAACAAGUCAACACAUCAAUGAAUAAAUAUUCUCCAAUUAUUUGAUUGCUUAGACUGUCAAGACUCAACUAGGCUAAUUAUCCUUCAUCGAAAGUCAAAUUCCUUCGAACAAGUGUUAGGACUUAAUAAGGCAAUUAGUGUAUUUUUUUAUUUUUAUUUUUUGGUUUUUCCCCCUAUUGCACUUCCCCUUAAGCUUUCUAGAUGACUCAUGUAGCAGACUUUAGGUUGAUAACUCUCAAAUCAGACGACUUUAGGAUAUCAGAUUUUUAAACACCCUUACAAGUUUAAUAACCCGAGUCAUAAAGGUUUCGAAGAGAACAAUUAUUUUUUUCUUUCAAGGGUAACAUCAUCUUUGAUUAUUUUCUAAAUGAACCCUGUAGCGAGCUUUAAGUCGAUGAUUCCCAAGUCAGAUGACUUUAGGAUAUUAGGUUUUAAGAUACCCUUGCAUGCUUAAUUGCUCGAAUCAUAAAGGCUUCAAAGAGAAGUUUUAAAUUUUAAAAUAUAUGCCUUGAAUAGUGCAAUGCCUCUUAUCUAUACCUAUUCAAGAAAAUUGACCUCCAACUCAAGAUUUCACCAAAUUUUAUCAUGUUCAUCUCAGACAAUCCACACAAUUUUUUUUCCACACAAGGAAUUCCUAGCCACAUCCGUAUCUUCCUACAAUAGUAAAAUCACCCCAAACUGUGCUAAAUUUGGUCUAAAGAUAAUUAGUUCAGUAUAGUUUAUGUAAAACAUUUAUGUCCAACUAAAUCAACCUAUCAAGAGCAUGAAAAACUCAUUUCAUUAUAAUGUCAAAUUCAAUUCUAAUGUGCGUAUAAUAUCAAGUUUUGCAAUGUUAUCUAGCGUGCAACAUAUCCACAGUUCAUAAAUUAACACUAAAUCUCAAUUUAGAUCAUCAUUGCCGGUCAGGCUAUCCAACCCACACAAGCACACAACCUAAUAAUUUUUUUUUAAGUAGUACUAAAAACAAACGCGCCAAAACACAUAAGCAUACGAAAAAAAAACUCAAUUUUUUUUCACCCCCAAACUUGAAGCCGACAUUGUCCUCAAUGUCAUAAAGCAAAAGUAAGAGUAUAAGGGAAUGGGGAAGAAAAGGAAGAAAAUACUCCCCAAAAUUUUCUGUUGAAUAUGUGAGGCACUAUAGAUGACGGCUUGACAAUCUCUGUCAUUAUACUUUUCCUUUGGUUUAUGUUGUUUUAAGUGUUCCAUGACGUCAUGAUCCUGCACAUAGCAGUUAAAUCAAACAUUAAAAAUAAGUAAUCUAGAACAUGUGUUACUUAGCCCAAGCAAUCAAAAUACCAACAAUAAAUUCAAUGGCCUAAUGGAAGUAUUAAAGAUGGUGAUACCCUACAAAUUAAAACGUGCUUAAAUCUAAUGCAACCUAGCAAUCGAAACAAAUCUAUAAGCUAUGCUAUGCGAUGCAGAAAGCAAAAUAACUAAAAGCGUUAGAAGAUCGAGUUGCCUCCCAAUAAGCACUUAAUUUAUAGUCUUUAGCUAGACUGUAUGGAAGAAUUGAUCAUGAUGGUUUAUAUCUUGAGUUUUUGCACUCCUUGCAAUUUUCGAUUUUGCAUCCUCGUUUUGCCUUCCAAACCUUGAACCCUCCAUUCCCUUCUUGUCCAAAGCUUCCUAAGUUUUUAGGCUAUGUCUCCUUCAAGCCUUGUUGCACAUUUGCAGCAAUAUAAUUGCACUCCUCCUUAACCUUUUUGCUAAUCUCUUCAAGUAAUGAAUUUUUGAUAGUGUUGUAGAUCUUGAAUUUCUCUUCCUUAUCUUCCACUCUCAAUGUCAAUUCGCCAUUUUCAAAGUCCACGACAACUCGAAUUAUUGAUAGGAAGGAUCUGCCCAAGAUAAGUAACACUUCAUCCCAAGACUCCUCUAUAUCUAGGACAACGAAAUCAACUAGGAAUAUGAUUUACCCACUUUAAUGAGCACGUUCUCAACUACUCCACGUGGGUAUUUGAUUGAUCUAUCCGCCAAUUGAAGGUAGAUGGAUGUGUCUUUCAGCUCUUCCAAACCUAAGUUUUUGUAUACAAAAGAAGGCAUUAGGUUAAUACUUGCUCUAGAAUCACAUAAGCAAUUAAAAUUUAAAUCUUUUCCUAUUGAGGAAGGUAUUUUGGGACUCCCCGAAUCUUGUAGUUUAGGAGGUAAUUUAUUCUGUAAGAUGGCACUACACUCUUCAUUUAACUUGAUGGUCUCAAAAUCUGUAAUAUUUCUCUUUUUUGAUAGGAUCUCCUUCAGAAAUUUUGCAUAGUUUGAUAUUUGAGAUAAAACUUCAAUCAAUGGGACAUUGAAAUGAAGUUUCUUAAAGAUAUCCAAGAACUUUGCAAAUUGUUCUUCCAACUUCUUCUUUUGUAAUUUAUGGGGAAAUGGGAAUAGAGGCACAUAAGGUUUGAUAGGAGCGGUUACCUUGAUUUGUAGAUUUUCUAGCUCUUGAGAUGGAACUACUUUGUCCAGUUGUUCAUAUUUAUCUACCUGUUCCUCAUCUGUAAAAGGUGACUUUUUAUUUUCUGUCACCCGUCUUUUAACUAUAACUUCUGGAAGUUUAACUCCACUGCGUGUAGUAAUUGCCUCAAUCUCCUCGCUCUCCAAAACUUUUACUGUCAUUACCUGCUGUUUAGGAUUUGUUUCCGUGUCGAUUGGUAGUGUUCCUUGCUGUCUUUCUGAGACUGCUUUUGCUAUUUGUUCCAUCUGAUUUUUUAAAUUCUUGAUAGCAGCUUCCUGAACUUGUAAAGUCUUAUCUGUUCUUUGCAUGUGUUGAGUAGAGAUCUCUGCCAAUUUAAUGACAAGAUCUUUCAAUGAAGAAUUAUUUUCAGCCUAUCGAAAACCUGGAGGUGCAGUCUACUAUGCCGCAAUCUAACUACCUGAUUGUUGCUCCAUUGAAAAUCUGGAUAAUUUCUCCAGCUUGGGUAGUAGGUGUUAGGAUUCUGAUUGUGUUGCUAUCUUUGAAAAUUUUGAGCAUAAUUUACAUCAUCUAGUGAUUGAUCAAAAGGACUACCCAUAGUGCAAUCAGCACUUUCAUGAUUUCCUCUACAGUGCUUGCAUUUUUGUCCUACUGUUUGAAACAUGUUGAUGACAUCUGUUCUCAAGUAGAAGUUUUCCUGACCAAACACCGGAUAUACAAUACUGGACUGGCUUUCCACUACCAGUGGAACCAUAUACUCUCCCAUGAGCCUUGCAUUUUUGUUCACUACAGCGAUAUUCAGUUGUGAUACUCCCAAAUUAGCCCCGAUUGUUAGUUGAUUCGGAUUUUUGUUUGCCAUGUCUUCAUCUUUUUGUUUUUGAUGUGUUUCAAGUUGUUGUCUUUUUCGAAAGUUGAAUGUUCAUUCGAUGGGUCAAAUUGAGCAAGAUCACCAGUUCUCAAACUUCGCAUAUAAAGUUCUAAAAAAGAAAGUAAGAAACGUAGUAAAAUUUUUCUAAUAAUUAUACUAAAACAGAAAAAAUUAAAAUUCAGAUUAAAGCUAAAAUAAACUAAAACUAGUAAAAAAAAAUAGUCCCCGGCAUGGCGUCAAAAACUUGAUCGUUUGAUUACCUCAAGUGAACGGGAUCGUGAGCAAGUAAUAUAGUAGUGUGUAGAGUGUCGAACUCACGAGGAUUAUGUGUUUGAUCCAGUUAAAACUAAUAAUACCCUUAAUCGAAUAGCAAAAUCAAGUUGUGACUAAACAAUAUUAAAUCUAGCAACUAAAUUGAAAGCAAAGUAAAAAUUUAUCAAAUUCGCGGGAAGUAUUGCUAAGAUGUAGAAUCCCCCUUGCUAAUCUAUUUUUAGUUCGACAAUUUAAAUCAACAAUUUGAAAUCAUGUUUGUUUGUCAAUGUUCCUAUUUUAAUUGAAAACCUCUCUCGACGGCUAUCAAAUCUAUUUCCUUCAUGCGACCUUCCUAUCACUCGAUGAAAGAUACAAACAUGAUAAAUGCAAGAACAUCUUAUAAAAAUCAUAUGAAGUAUAGAGGUAUAUCUCUAUCCUUUGUCGAACCUCACAAUAUUUAUUAUUUUGUGCUAAUGAUCCUAUUGUCUCUCUCGAUAAUAACAAAAUUCACAAACAAUUCAACUAGUGGUCAAUUAAUUGAAAAAGCAUGAAAACGAUAAUAAACAUCCAAACAAUUAAACAAAUUAACAUCAAUUAAAUUAUUCAAAUUAAAAAUUCAUAACAAGGGUUCAUCACAUCCUAACAAAUAUGAAAAAUUAGCCUAACAUAUUGAAAUUACAAGAAAUCAUAUAUAAGUGGAAAGACAUAACCCGAAUUUUUGAUAAAUUGUGAAGAUGAAGAUAAAUCUUGAAAUCUUGAAUCUCUUCAAUGGUUUCUUAAUGAAUCUCUACUUGCGCUCUCUCUUCUUUGUCCAAUACCAAGUUUGAAUCUUCAAGUGAUUGAAUUCUUACAAGUCUCCUUCAAUUCUUUUACAAAAAUAAUGAAUUCUCUUCCUUUGAUGAUGAUAAUUGAUGAAUGUUGGAGUAUAUUAUGUAUAAGAGACAUGUACGAAAGCCUCCUUCAUGUAUUCUCCUAUUGGGUAUCUGUAGUGGUCGAAAAUUGGUGAAAAAUCACGUCCAAGUUGGUUUCCAAAAGAGUUCCAAUCGAAUAAGCAAAGUUACACUCGCAUGCGGAUUUUUUUCUCUGCACAGCAGUCAAUAUUUUGAUCAUAACUGUGUCUCCUGAUAUUUGAUUGAGUUGAUUCAAAAUGCAUUGAAACGAUAACUAAAAGGGCUACGAUUCUUUUAGAGAUAAAUAUUUUUCAAUUCGAACGUUUACUACGCCUAAAAUUGGUCACAAUCCUUGACAAAAAAAUCUAGAAGAUAUAUCAUGUAAUUCGAAGUCGAUUAUGGUAAUAUUCUGAUGAUAUUUCAUUCCUUUUUUACUUCUAAUUGCAUCCAAUUGACUCUUACCAAUCUUUAAAAUAUCUCAUAUGGUCCAAUUCAACCAUUGGAUAUUUACAAUUUGGUCCUGAACUUUGUACUUCAUCAUUUUUCGUCGUUUUUCACUUAUUUCUUUCAAUUUAGCUUUCAACCAUCGAGUUUUACCUAAUAAAUGAAAUAUACAAUAAAUUAGGUUAUAAUUGCUUUAAAGAACUAUUAAAUGUCUAUAUUUUUAGGUCUACAUAAGUGUAUAAAAUACACUUAUCAAGGAUAAGGAUGUCAUUCUUCUUAAUUCAUUACCUGAAGCUUAUAAAGAUGUUAAAACUGUCAUUAAGUAUGGCACGGAUGUCUUGACUCCUAAGGUUGUUAAGAAGCAAAGAACUAGAACUUAAAUCUGAAAGGCAGGGAAGGGAUUCCGAGAGUCAGCUUGUUAGGGGUAGAUCACUUAGUAGGCAAAAUAGUAGUCGUAAAAAUCAUAAUCAUCAAGGAAAUAAUAAUAACAAGAAGAAAUGGAAAGGAAGACCUAGGUCAAAGUCUAGGUCUGGGAGUAGAAAGUGCUAUGGAUGUGGAAAAACUAGUCACCUUAUUAAAGACUGCUACAAAAAAAAAAAAAAAAAAAGGAAUGAACAAAGAGAUAAGUAUGUGGAUGAGGGAAAUGUUGUAGAACCCCUAGAAGAUAAAACUGUGGACGUCUAUGUUGUUACAGAACCCAUUACUGAUGUGAAUACUAUUAAUUUUUCUGAAAAUAAUUACCAAAGUCAAGAGUGGAUUCUUGAUUCUGGUUAUACCUUCCAUAUGACUUCUAAAAGAUCUUGGUUAGAAAGUUUUAAAAACAUAAAUGGAGGUGAGGUAGUAAUGGGUAAUAAUGCAGCCUGUAAAGUUUUAGGAAUUGGUAAUGUGACUUUGAAAUUUGAAAACGAAUAUAUCUUUACCCUAUAGAGAGUAGGAUAUGUCCCAGAUUUAAAAAGAAAUUGAAUUUUAAUGGAUAAUCUGGAUGACAUUAGCCUACAAGCUAAGCUUGGUGAUGGCCUAUUAAAAGUAAUUAAAGGCUCUCUUGUAAUAUUCAAAGGUGCCAAAAGAAAUGGAACAUAUGUCACUAGAGCCGACGUAAUUUCAAGUCACACUGCUGAAGUUGAUGCCACCUUAAAAUGACACAAUAGGUUAGCACAUGUAAGUGAAAGAGGUCUGCACAUUUUGAGUAAAAAGGGUGUUCAUGGAAAAGAUAAUAUUUCAAAAAUUUCCUUUUGUGAUUAUUGUACUCUAGGAAAAUAACAUAGACUUCACUUCAAUACAGUAUGAGACUACUUCUGUGUUGGAGUAUGUACAUGUUGAUUUGUGAGGACCCUCAUCUACCAUCACUCAAGGAGAAAAUAAAUAUUUUCUAUCUUUGAUUGAUGAUUUUCAAGAAAGGUUUAGAUUUUUCUGUUAAAACAGAAGUCAGAUACUUUUGAAAAAUUUAAAGGUUAGAAAACCUUGAUUGAAAAUCAGAAUGGGAAGAAAAUUGAUAAACUAAGAAUUGAUAACAGUCUAAAAUUUUGUAAUGCUGAUUUUUGAUCAAUUAUGUAAGGUUAGUGGCAUCUUUAGACAUAAAACUAUACCCUAUACCCCUCAACAAAAUGGAGUUGUCGAAAUGAUGAAUAGAAAAAUUCUAGACAAAAUUAGAUGCAUGGUGAUUAGUUCUGGAGUCCUAAAGUGUUGCGGGAAGAAGUUGCUAUGACAGCAGUGUACAUCAUAAAUAGAACCCCUACUAGUGCCUUAGAUGGUAGAACCCCUGAGGAGGUGUGGUAUGGAAAAAUAUCAUAUUAUACUCACCUUAAGACUUUUGGUUGUGUAGCCUUUUCCCAUCAAAGUGUUGGUAAAUUUGAACCUAGAUCCCUAAAAUGUGUUUUUAUGGGGUAUCCUAGGAGUGUAAAGGGCUACAAGUUGUGGGAUAGGAGUGUUAAGGGGUUUAGAAUAAUCACAAGUAGGAAUGUGACCUUUAAUGAGUCUGACAUGCCCUGCAUAUCUGAGAAAUAUCAUGAAACACACCUGUUGAACAUACUGAUGAAGUUCAGACUGAAAUCGAGGAAGUUUCAGAAGUUGAAAUAGAGGAAAAAGUGCCUGUUCAAGAAGUAGGUGAGGAAGAAAAUCCUUUAGAAGGUUACCAGUUUACUAGGGAUAGGGUUAGAAGAGAGAUAAGACAACCCUUGAAAAUGAGAGACUACCUAUCCUUAGCUUUAUUGUCCUACCAAGAUCUGGCCUUUAAAAAACCUAAAACAUAUGAGGAGGCAGUGAGUUGUCAAUUAUUAGAUGACUGGAAAUUGGCCAUGGGUAAAGAAAUGAGCUCUCUAUUGAAAAAUAAUACUCGGACUUUGGUUCCCAAUCCUAAGGAUAAAUCCAUAGUUGAUUGUAAAUGGAUUUAUAACAUAAAAGAGGGUAAUAAUUUGAAGCAGCCUAUUAGGUUUAAAGCCAGAUUAGUUGCAAAAGGAUUCACACAAAAACCUGGGAUAAUUUUCUCACAUGUGGUUAAAUACACAACCUUAAGAUUCAUGCUUGCUUUAGUAACACAUUUUGACUUAGAAAUUGAACAAAUGGACGUCAAAAUUGCUUUUUUGUAUGGAGACUUGGAUGAAACCAUUUAUAUGUGUUAGGCACUUGGUUUUAUUGAUACUAAGAAAUCUAAACAUGUGUGGCUAUUAAAAAGAUCUUUGUAUGGGCUUAAACAACUACCAAGACGAUGGUAUAAACGCUUUGAUAAUUUUGUGUCAUCCGUUGGUUUUCUUAAAAGCUUUUUUGAUCAUUGUUUGUACUUUAAAGAGGAUAAAAAUGGUCUGUGAUUGUUUACCUGCUUCUGUAUGUGGAUGAUAUGUUACUAAUAGGGCAACAUCUAAGUGAUAUUAAUGAUAUUAAAGGUUUUUAUGCUCUGAAUUUGAAAUGAAAGGCUUGGGACAUGCUAUAAGAAUUUUAGGCAUGGAUAUUAAGAAAAAUAGAUCUAAACAUGUUCUUUUUCUAUCACAAUCGGCAUAUGUGGAAAAAGUAUUAUCAAAAUUUGCUAUACAUGAAUCAAAGUUUGUUACUUUACCACUUGGAAGCCAUUUUAAAUUGAGUAAAGAUCAGUAUUCUGUUGAUGAAUCUGAUGUGAAAUAUAGGCAAAAGGUUUCUUAUGCUAAUGAUGUGGGGUCUAUUAUGUACACUAUGGUGUGUACCAGUCCUAAUGUUGCUCAUGCCAUCAGCACCUUAAGUAGAUUUAUGGAAAAUCUUGGCCUGAACACUGGAUUGCCUUAAAAUGGUUACUUAGAUAUCUAAACGGGUCCUCUAACUUGGGUUUAUGUUUUAAUCCUUGUAAAGAAGGUAUUAUUUUAAAGGGAUUUGUUAUUUUGAUUAUGCGGGGGACACGACAAUAAAAAAUCAACUACAUCUUACAUGUUUACCUUGUAUGGCAUUUGUGUGAAUUGGAAAUCACAAUUACAGUCUAUUACUGCAUUAUCAACCAUUGAAGCAAAAUAUGUGGUAGCCACUGAAGCCGUAAAAGAAGCAUUAUGGCAUAAAGGUUUAUCAUGUGAAUUAAAUGUCCUUUCUCACACAGUAGUAGUUUACUCAGAUAGUUAGAGUGCUACUCAUUUAUAUAAAAAUCUUAUUUUUCAUGAAAGGACUAAGCAUAUAAAUAUUAGAAUGCAUUUUGUCCAUGAUAUAAUUCAUAAGGAUUCUGUUGUACUUGAAAAAAUACCUAUUGAAUUUAAUCCAGCUGAUACGGGAAGCAGGGAACUCUCUCUUAACAAGUUUAAAUCUUGUUUGGAAAUUCUGAAAAUUGAUACUGGAUAAUUAUAUGGGAAAAGUAGGUACUGGUUUCUCCGUCUUGGUGCUUUGAGUUGUGGGACCUAUAUAAAGGAUGUGCAGAAGUUGUUUUUCUGUAUUUUGAGUCCUGUUCGAGUCAUUGGCAUCAAUGUGGAGAUUGUUUAGUUUGCGAUGCUAAUUUUGAAAUUACAACUCAAAUAAUGGGCUAUGAUGAAAACUGGGCUAGAACCAUUCUUGAUACUACACUUCCAUUGCUCGAUAACUCGAAUGAAGAGGCCCAAAACCCAAGCCCAUCAUUUGGCCACGUGUGAUACUACGGACUAUUGGAUCUUCUAAUUAAUAUCAACCAUGAUGAGCCUCUUAUGUAUAAUGGCGUUUGAUGGUUGCCCUAGUGGACUUCACUCAUUUUUCUUUUGUCUCUUGAACUUUCUAGAAUUUGAGAUUUUCUGUCUUCCUUUCUCCUUCAUCUUCUUUGUGUUUCUCUUGAAACUUCUGUGAUUUGGGGUUUGUAUACUGUGUGAAUAAGCGAUUCUUGAGUGAGGAAAAAUGGUUGAUAUCUGUUUUAGGGUUUUUUUUUCUUUGGUCCGUCGAGGGAGCCUCGUUCGGUUUCUUGUGUGGGUUUUGGUAUUUUGGUGCUUUAGGUUUGUAUAGAAGGUACAAUGAUUUUUGAGCCCAAAUGGUCGAUGAAAUCUUGGUGUCAAAUGUUCAGUUUGUUUUGUAACAGUUUACAGCGAAUGAUUUGGAUACUUUGUAUAUUUUUUGAUUUCUUGGUAUAAUAA
This 12964-nucleotide long non-coding RNA is filed under the name Olea europaea subsp. europaea. Lineage: Eukaryota; Viridiplantae; Streptophyta; Magnoliopsida; Lamiales; Oleaceae. The record is from RNAcentral.